GGGAUGAGCUCAAGCUUAAAAUCUCCGUGCAAUUUUUGCGCGGCGAAUUGUAGUCUAUAGAAGCGUGGUCAGUAUGGGCACUUGGGUUAAGUUCCUUGGAAGAGGACAGCAUGGAGGGUGAUACUCCCGUUCGUCCCCAAGUUGCUUGUGCGUACGACCCGUUUUCUUUGAGUCGCGUUGUUUGAGAAUGCAGCGCAAAGUAGGUGGUAAAUUCCAUCUAAAGCUAAAUAUUGGUGCGAGACCGAUAGCAUACAAGUACCGUGAGGGAAAGAUGAAAAGAACUUUGAAAAUAGAGUUAAAGAGUACCUGAAACUGCUGAAAGGUAACCAAAUCGUUUCCAGUGUCUAUAAUCCGUGGUAUAUUUCAUUGGCGAGUGUAUGCGUGCGUGUGCUGUUGCAGUGGCCUUUUGGCUGCGCUCGGCGUGUGUGUUGUGUGUGCUUGCUGGUGCCCUGUGCUGUGGUGGGACGUCAAGGUCAGUUCGUAUGCUGCGGGAAAUGGCCACUGAGGAGGUAGGGCUUACGCUUGCGUUUGUCUGUUAUAUCUUGGUGGACGAGUAGUCGCGGUUGGGACUGAGGUGCCUACAACGUGCUUUUGAGUGGAUUUGGGUCUCCGUGUGCGCCGUGUGCGGAUAGCUUGCUAUGCGUGUGUGGCUGUGUAUGGAUUGAUGCGAGUCGUAACUUGUAGCCGUUCGGGACGUUGACG
RNAcentral lists this ribosomal RNA (702 nucleotides) under Plasmopara viticola. Its description in RNAcentral is "partial large subunit ribosomal RNA". It matches the Rfam family "Eukaryotic large subunit ribosomal RNA", at positions 100 to 634 of the family's 3401-position model. The record is from RNAcentral. Lineage: Eukaryota; Oomycota; Peronosporomycetes; Peronosporales; Peronosporaceae.